RNAcentral lists this transfer RNA (69 nucleotides) under Streptomyces griseus. RNAcentral describes it as "tRNA-Pro(cgg)". RNAcentral also lists the same sequence under 3 other names. Lineage: Bacteria; Bacillati; Actinomycetota; Actinomycetes; Kitasatosporales; Streptomycetaceae. The record is from RNAcentral.
CGUCGUCCUGGGCCAGGAGUUCGCCGCGUUCGGGCCGGGGCAGGUGUGGCUCCAGUCCGCGCCGAUGUC